Molecule: long non-coding RNA, 329 nt
Filed under: Ananas comosus (pineapple)
Lineage: Eukaryota; Viridiplantae; Streptophyta; Magnoliopsida; Poales; Bromeliaceae
Description: long non-coding RNA (ACOM_LNC000654)
Source: RNAcentral
UUUUGGGACGGACAUUAAAUUUUUUUUUUUUGAGAGAUAGGUAGCACGCUACCCGUUUCGUUUAUUUCAUUUAGAAAUAAAGUUAGCUGGAAAUGUGAAACAAUUAGGAUUCGAACUUGGAACCUCGGGUACCAAUCACCAAGCCCUUUGCCACUUGCUCUAGGGACGAUCGGUUUUAAAGAUAGGUAGCACGCUACCCGCUUCGAUUUAGAAAUAAACUUAGCUGGAAAUAUGAAUCAACUAGGAUUCGAACUUGGGACCUCGGGUACCAACCACCAAGCCCUUUGCCACUUGCUCUAGGAAUGGUCGGUGACGGACAUUAAAUUUUG